Molecule: ribosomal RNA, 983 nt
Filed under: Echiuropus macronychus
Lineage: Eukaryota; Metazoa; Arthropoda; Malacostraca; Amphipoda; Acanthogammaridae
Description: 16S ribosomal RNA
Rfam family: Archaeal large subunit ribosomal RNA (bases 606-936)
Source: RNAcentral
UGUUAUUAGAUAAUAUUAAAGAUAAAGAAAGUUUUGUUACUGUACCUUUUGUACCAGGGGAGUUUAAGAGAAAAUAGAGUGAGUAAUCGAGUGGUACGGAACUUUUUAUUAGAAAUAUAGUUGAAUUUAUAUUAAUAAUUUUUUAUGGGGUGAUAAGUGUACGGCGUAUUUGAUAUCUAUUUGUUUUUUUUUAGAAAAGGUUAAGCUUUUCUAGCUCUAUAUAUUUGGUUUAGUAUAAAGAGAACAAGGCUUUAAAUUAGCUGUGUUAGUCGAUUGUUUUAAAUAAUUCUUAUAGAUUUUAAUACAAGUAGAUUUUAAAGACUAAUUUUGGCACCAGUUUUCUAGUCUAGUAAUGAGUUUAUUGAAUAUUUAAGGGAAAUGUUAAGUUACUCAAUUUAAAUUAGAAGGUUUAACAAAAACAUUUUUAUUUGGCUAAAGGAAGUAGGGCCUGCCCAGUGAGUAUUAAACGGCUGCGGUAUUUUGACUGUGCUAAGGUAGCAUAAUCAUUUGUUUCUUAAUUGGUAGCUGGAAUGAACGGUUGAACUAGUUUAAGAAGUGUGUAUAUUUUUUACAGAAAGUUAAAGUCAAGGUAAGAAUUCUUUGAUUAUUUAGGGGACGAUAAGACCCUAUAAGCUUGAUAAGUAUAAUGGUGGCUUUGUUUUUCAAGUUAAUUUAUUUUACUGGGGCGGUGCUUAUAUUUUAACUAUUAGUUUAAUUAGGAUCCUUAAUAUAUAGACGAAACGGAGAAGUUACUUUAGGGAUAACAGCGCAAUAUUUUUGGAGAGAUCUUAUCGAUAAAUAUGUUUGCGACCUCGAUGUUGAAUUAAAAUUUCUACGCGAAGCAGAAGGUGCAGUAGAGGGUUUGUUCAACCUUUAAAUUUUUACAUGAUUUGAGUUCAAAUCGGUUUAAGCCAGAUUGGAUUUUAUCUCUAAAUAGGUUUAAGGUCUUUUUAGUACGAAAGGGUUGAUUGAUCUUUGUUAGC